GUGGAGCCCGUCCAUUGUAGAAGUUCGUCUGGGAUCCAUCCGCUGUAGAAGUUCGGACGGAGUUUGGCUCUUUUAGGGGCUCGGAUGAAAUUCGGAAGGCGAUCGACCAUCGUAGAAACUUGGAUGGAGUCUGGUUACUAUAGAAGUCCUGCUGUUGGAGAGGCUCGGACAUUGACAAAGUUCGAAAGAAGUUCGAAGUGAAGUCGAUCGUGGCAGGAAGAAGUCUGGAAGAGAUUCAGAGGGUAGUCGAUCACUGUAGAAAGUCGACUGAUAAUGAAGCCCAGAGAGCAUUUGGAGCAGUCCGGUAGA
RNAcentral lists this long non-coding RNA (309 nucleotides) under Elaeis guineensis (African oil palm). Its description in RNAcentral is "long non-coding RNA (EGUI_LNC073052)". Lineage: Eukaryota; Viridiplantae; Streptophyta; Magnoliopsida; Arecales; Arecaceae. The record is from RNAcentral.